AAGUCGUAACAAGGUUUCCGUAGGUGAACCUGCGGAAGGAUCAUUAUUUGAUUCGAAAUCGGAGGUAUUAUGUACCGCCAAUUUUCACCGUGAACUGUUUCUUGUACUAGUGUUAUUUUUUUUCUAUUUCAUUCUUCGGAAUGCAUCAAUUGAAAGACAACUUUCAGCAAUGGAUCUCUUGGCUCUU
This 187-nucleotide unclassified non-coding RNA is filed under the name fungal sp. Its description in RNAcentral is "partial internal transcribed spacer region". The stretch from base 1 to 46 matches the Rfam family "Eukaryotic small subunit ribosomal RNA", at positions 1786 to 1831 of the family's 1831-position model. Lineage: Eukaryota; Fungi. RNAcentral also lists the same sequence under 2 other names. The record is from RNAcentral.